RNAcentral lists this ribosomal RNA (2731 nucleotides) under seawater metagenome. Its description in RNAcentral is "bacterial LSU rRNA". It matches the Rfam family "Bacterial large subunit ribosomal RNA". The record is from RNAcentral.
AAAAAUACAGUGAAUGUACUUAAUGGAAGCCUUGGUGUUAGAUAUUUAAACGUUUAAAAUCGAGAUAGUGUAAGGAGUGAAAACUACUUUGUUAAAUAAUCAGUGAUUUACACUUUUUUAAAAGUUAACUUAGAUUUAUAAAAUCUAUUUAUUACCUAGUGAACUGAAACAUCUAAGUAACUAGAGGAAAAGAAUUCAAUAGAGAUUUUAUUAGUAGUGGUGAGCGAAAGUGAAAAAGCCCAUAAAAUGUGUAGAUAAUUUUUAUAUAAAUGGUUAACAACAUGUGAUACAAGGUAGAGCCCUGUAAAUAAAGUUAUAUCUAUAUAAUGUUAAAUUGAGUAAUGCGAAAUACGUGUAAUUUUGUAUGAAUAGAAGGGGACCACCCUUUAAGGCUAAAUAUUGUCUAAUAACCAAUAGUGAAUGAAAGUACUGUGAAGGAAAGGUUGAAAAGAACUCUGAAGAGUUAUGAAACAUUGAAAUUAAGUAUAUAUACAACAGUUAGAGCGUAUUAUUUAAUUAUUGCGUGAUAGCGUACCUUUUGCAUAAUGGGCCAGCGAGUUAUUUUAUUUGGCGAGUUUAAUUUUUUAUAGUAGACGUAGCGAAAGCAAGUUUUAAGAGAGCGUUAGUUAAUUAAAAUAGACCCGAAACUAAGUGAGCUAACUUUGAGCAGGUUGAAGGUAUUUUAAUCAAUAUUGGAGGACCGAACCCGUGUAUGUGAAAAGAUACUGGGAUGACUUGGAGUUAGGAGUGAAAGGCUUAUCAAACUUAGAGAUAGCUGGUUUUUUACGAUAUCUAUUUAAGUAGAGUGUUGCUAGAUGUAUUUAUAGGGUAAAGUUACCUGUAAAAGAAUGGGGACUAUUGUCUUACUGAAUUUUAUAAAACUCAGAAUAUGUAAAUAUUAUAGUAGCAAACAGACUGCUAAUGAUAAAGUUGGUAGUCGUGAGGGAAAGAGCCCAGAUCAUAAGCUAAGGUCCUUAAAAUAUUUUUAAGUGAGAAAGAAGGAAAUAAUUUACCAUUAGGAAGUGGGUUUGGAAGCGGCCAUCUUUUAAAGAAAGCGUAAUAGCUCACUAAUGAAGUUAUAUUUUUUUUAAAAUGUAGUGGGACUAAAAAAAUAUACCGACGCUGUGAAUAAUUAUAUAUAUUUUAUAUAAUUUUGGUAGUAAAACGUUUUGUAAGUUAAUAAAGUAUUUUUGUAAAAAAAUAUGAAGAUAUCAAAAGUGAGAAUGCUGGCAUGAGUAACGUUAAAUAAUCAGAAAAAGAUUAUCGCCGUAAGCUUAAGGUUUUCUAUUAUUGGAUAAUCCGAAUAGAGUUAGUCGGCCCCUUAGAUUACUUUAAUAUGAAAAUUUAUUUUAUUGAAGGGUAAAAGAAAUAAUAUUUCUUUAUUUAGGGUAUAGUGACAAAUUUUUUUUUUAUUUUAUUUUUAGUUUUAAGCUUUAUAAAUAUAGGUAAAAAAAAAUUUCGUGAAAAAGCUUCCCUUUUAAAACCGUACUAAAACCGACACAGGUAAGCAGGUAGAGUAUACUAAGGCGCUUGAGAUAACAAUAUUGAAGGAACUCGGCAAAUUGCAUCCGUAACUUCGGGAGAAGGAUGACCAACUAUAAAUUAUAUAUUUAUAUGUUGGUGGCACAGAAUUGGGGGUAGCGACUGGUUAUUAAAACCAUAGGAUUCUGCUAAGUAGUAAUAUUAUGUAUAGGAUCUGACGCCUGCCCAGUGUUGUAAGGUGAACUUGGAUUGUUAUUUUUAGCAUGAAGAUUAAGCCCACAGUAAACGGCAGCCGUAACUAUAACGGUUCAAAGGUAGCGAAAUUCUUUGUCAAUUAAUUGUUGACCUGCAUGAAUGGCGUAACGACUUCCCUACUGUCUCCAGUAUUGACUCAGUGAAAUUGAAUUCUCCGUGCAGAUGCGGAGUACUAAUAGCUAGACGGAAAGACCCUAUAGACCUUUACUGCAUUUAUGUAUUGUCAUAUAAGGUGCAAUGUGUAGGAUAAACAGUAACUUAUGAUACUUCAAUUUUGGUUGAAUGUGGAGGUGUCCUUGAAAUAUUGUUCUUUGUUAUCUUUAUGACUAAUUAGUUUUAACAGUGCAUAAUUGGUAGUUUUGCUGGGGCGGCAGGCUUUUAAAGAGUAACAAAGCUGUACAAAGGUAAGCUCAAAAUAAUUUAUGUUAUUUGUAGCGUUUAAUGGCAUAAGCUUGCUUGACUGUAAAAUUGAUAAAUUCAGCAGGGACGCAAGUCGGUCAUAUAGAUCCGAUGAUACCAGGUGGAUGGGUCAUCGCUUAACGGAUAAAAGGUACCUUAGGGAUAACAGGCUAAUAACUCUUGAGAGACCAUAUCGACGGAGUUGUUUGGCACCUCGAUGUUGACUCAUCACAUCCUGGAGCUGAAGUAGGUUCCAAGGGUUCGGUUGUUCGCCGAUUAAAGUGGUACGUGAGUUGAGUUUAGAACGUCGUGAGACAGUUUGGCCCCUAUCUACUAUUAGUGUUAAAAAAUUGAAAAGUGUUUUUUCUUGUACGAGAGGACCGAAAAGACAGUACCUAUGGUUUUCUGGUUAUUUUGGCUAUAAGUAGGCCAGUCAGCUACGUACAUAAACAUAACCACAGACGGCAUCUACGUGGGAAGGUUACUUUAAAAUAAAUUUUUAAAUUGGUAAUAGAGAAUUACUUUGAUAGGUCACAUGUAAAAGUAUAGUGAUAUAUUGAGCAGAUCGGAAGAGCGUCGUGUAGGGAAAGAGUGU